AGUUUCAAUAAGAAAUAAUGGGAGCAUGAACUUUGCAGAAAAGAUAAAAAUGGAAUGAAGACAGAACUCUGUGAGAGAAAGAACAUAGUAACUAUUCUAAUGAUGUUGGGAUCCUCAGUCUUCCAGAGGAUGGCAAUGGGAUUUGCUAAUACAGGAUGGGAGAGAGAAUGAUGUGUGAGUGUCUGUGAUGAAGAUGUCACACUUACAGCAGAAACUGAGAAACAGUGGAUAACUUCUGAAAUCUUUGGAAUUUAAGAAAGAAGUGAUUAUGCUGUUGAAAUCGUGAAGAUUUUACAGACUGCCUCCCAGAUUCACUGCCAGCAUCAGCAUGCUUGACUAGGAGAGUCAGGAGGGCCCUGCCAAGUCUGAUGCACUAUCUCUACCAUGACACCCUGAGGAGGAACUUGGAUUUCAAAUUAGUGAGCAGUCGGUACAAUGUAUUUCACUAUGCCAUGUUCAACAGAAAGGAAUACGAGCUUGAAAUACAUUCACAGAGUCUGUCAUCUUUUCCUAUCUCUCCAACAAAGAGAAGAGCUUUCUUUCUAGUUUGGACUGCCAAUGUCUUCCCUUCCACCUCGGGACUCAUUCUCUUGCAAUUUGGCACUGCCAACCCAGGUAUUGAAUUUAUAUUCCCUCCACUUAUUUAAUGUCAGCCCCUUCUCAAAGAGCCGAAUUGAGUUUUGCCUUGUUUACUAAACUUUUCCUGCCAUUUCCAGUGCACAUGACUCUUUCAGCUCUUUGAACAGUUUUAUAGCUACAAUCACACAGUGUUAACAUUUUCCCCAAAGUUUUUCUUGUAUGUUGGUAUAUAAUUUUUCCAAAUAUUCAAGAGAAGAAGAUAUUUUUAUUCUUUGUAUAUAUGUCUGACAGUGCUGAGUACUCCUUCUGCUGUUUUCCAUACUACUGUGGGAAUUCAUUCAACCACUGAAAAAAUUAUUUAUCUAUGUCGUUCACAGUUGGGUGUGAUAUAGGCACAAAAAAUGCUACAAAACAUAAAGGCAGCUACUGUUUCCUAGGCUUUUACAGCAUAGACAAGGAAAGAAACAUGAAAAGAUAUGUAACAAGACUGACACAGAGAUACAUUUAAAAAUAUUUAUUUAUUCAUUACUGAGUACUUCUCAGUUGGUUAGGAGCACAUUCACAGCCCCUGAAGUUGUGAGGGUUAUUGACUAUAGAGCUGUUAAGUGUCAGAAGGGCUGCAAAGAACCCAAGGAGACAGGAGUGCGCGCUCGUGCUUUCUCUCGCUCUCUCUCUCUCUCUCAUCUGUGUCACUGUAUCUUUCUCUUUCUCCCUGGAUGACAAGAAAAGUAAGAAAGAGGGAAAAUAAUGAAUAACUAUGAAAGAGAUUGAGUUCUUUUUUUCUCCAGCAAAAUCCAAGAGACUCUUGUGGAAAUGUCUUCCAUAGAAACAAGGGUAGACAGAUAAAAGAUCUUGUGUUAUCUGCUGCCUCCCAGAAGGGGGGAAGUACAGAACUUACAGUCCAGGUUAACUGGAGGCUUGGAGAAUGAAAAUAGAAACAGGAAGAAGAGGAAUGACAACAACAAUAAAAAUGACUAAGUGUCUUUAAGAUUCAUCCUCUGUAUUGGAGACCUUAGAGUGUUGGGAUGCUGAACUCAAAAGCAGCAAAGCCCAGAGUUCUCAUACAUUCUCAUAUAUUGGUAGAAAAAAAUUAUCUCCCUUCUCUCACUUUCCAUGUAUUUUCUUCCCACUGCAAAUUGGCAUCUGCUUUCACCAUUUUACAGAAAUUAUUCCUCAUAAAGCCAACAGUGACAUCCUCAUUGUCAAAUGGGCACUUUCAGUCUACAUACUAUUGGGCUUCUCUGUUGAAUUUAUUUUUGUGAUCUCUGCUUUCUUAAACAAUCAGUUUCAAAACUUGAAUUCUGUGACUUUAGUGUACUUUCUCCGCCGCACCCUUAAUUCCUUUCGUGUUUGUUCAAGUUUGAGUUUUCUAUUCUCAGUCAAUAUCUUUACUCCAUCUAUGUGCUCUUCUAUGCUGAUCUCAUCUGCCCUCACAGUUUUGAGUACUACGUAUAUGCUUCUUUCUGGCAAGUAUUUUUGUGUGUAGAUUCUUCAUACAACACCUUCAGCUCUACAUCUGAUAUGCCCUUCAAAUUCUGCAUAGUUAAAAUAGAACCCUACUUCCUUCUGUAAAAAAGUCCCUUUCCAGUCUUUAUUGCAACUGGUGGUAUUGCUAUCCACCUAGUUCUCCCGAGAACUUCAGAGCAGUUAUUGAGACUUCCUUCUCCCUCACCAACCGUAUCUAAUUAAUCUCUAAGUAUUUUCCAAAUAUGUCUUCAUUGCUUUGUUUCUAUUAUCCGUGUUCUAGUUAGCUUGAAUUCCUAUAGUGCUUUUCUAAGUGGUUUCUGAAUAUUCAGUCUUCUUCCCCUUUCAACUCCAUUUUCUAAAGAGGUAAGAGACUGAACUUGUUAGACACAAAUCUAAUAUUCAUUACUCUUCUUAAAACUUUCAGUAUCACUUAAUACAUGACAAUUUUCUCUCCGUAGAAUUUAAGACCCUCCGUUAGCUCCUACCUACUUCCUGUUUCAUCAUCUCUUCAGCUGGCACCUGGCAAGAAGUGUUUACGGUUACAUGAUUUCACACGUCUGUGUCAUUGCUCUUCUUGAAAUGUCCUCACCGUCUUCACCUCCUUGACGUAUUUCUGCUUAUUUUAGCAACUAAGAAGUAUCUCCAAUUUUUUUAUGAUUGCAACCCUUUGGGGCUUUAGGGGCGAAUUAGUCCAUUUUCAUGCUGCUGAUAAAGACAUACUUGAAACUGGGCAAUUUACAAAAGAAAGAGGUUUAAUGGACUUACAGUUCCAUGUGGCUGGAGAAGCCUCACAGUCAUGGCAGAAGGUGAAAGGCACAUCUCACAUGGCAGCAGACAAGAGAACAGAGAGCUUGUUAGGGAAACUCCCCCUUAUAGAACCAUCAGAUCUCGUGAGACUAAUUCACUAUCAUGAGAACAGCAUGGGAAAGGCCUGCCCCUGUGAUUCAAUUACCUCCUACCAGGUCCCUCCUGCAACACAUGGGAAUUCAAAAUGAGAUUUGGGUGGGGACACAGUCAAACCAUCUCAUUCCGCCCCUGGCCCCUCCCAAAUCGUAUGUCCUCACAUUUCAAAAUGAAUCAUGCUUUCCCAACAGUCCCCCAAAGUCUUAACUCAUUUCAGCAUUAACUCAAAAGUCCACAGUCCAAUGUCUCAUCUGAGACAAGGCAAGUCUCUUCCAUCUAUGAGCCUGUAAAGUCAAAAGCAAGUACCGCCUAGAUGCAAUGGUAGUACAGGCAUUGGGUAAAUACAGCCACUCCAAACAGGAGAAAUUGGCCAAAGCAAAGCAGCUACAGGGCCCAUGCAAGUCUGAAAUACAGUGGGGCAGUCAAAUCUUAAAGCUCCAAAAUGAUCUCCUUUGACUCCAUGUCUCACAUCCAGUUCAUGCUGAUGCAGAGGUUGGCCCCUAUGGCCUUGGGCAGCUCCUCCCCUGUGGCUUUGCAGGGUAUAGCCUCCCUCCCAGCUGCAUUCAUGGGCUGGCAUUGAGUGUCUGCAGCUUUUCCAGGCACAUGGUGCAAGCCAUCAGAGGAGCUAUCAUUCUGGGGUCUGGAGAACUGUGGCCCUCUUCUCACUGCUCCACUAUGCAGUGCCCAAGUAGGGACUCUGUGUGGGGGCUCCAAUCCCACAUUUCCCUUCCACAAUGCCCUAGCAGAGGUUCUCCAUGAGGGCCCCACCCCUGCAGCAAACUUCUGCCUGGGCGUGAAGUUGUUUCCAUACAUCUUCUGAAAUCUAAAUGGAGGUUCCCCAACCUCAAUUCUUGACUUCUCUACACCCGCAGGCUCAACACCACAUGGAAGCUGCCAAGGACUAGGGCUUCCACACAUUGAAACCACAGCUUGAGCUGUACCUUGGCCCCUUUUAGUCACGGCUGGAGUGGCUGGGAUGCAGAGCACCAAGUGCCUAGACUGUACACAGCAGAGUGACCCUUGGUUCCGGCCCACAGAAUGAUUUUUUCUUCCUAAUCCUCUGGGCCUGUGAUGGGAGGGGCUGCCACAAAGGUCUCUAACAUGCUCUGGAGACAUUUUCCCCAUUGUCUUGGUGAUUGAUAUUUGGCUCUUCAUUACUUAUGCAAAUUUCUGCAGCCCGCUUGAAUUUCUACUCAGAAAAUGGGAUUUUCUUUUCUGUUGCAUUGUCAGGCUGCAAAUUUGCUGAACUUUUAUGCUCUGUUUCCCUUUUCAAACAGCAUGCCUUUAACAGCACCCAAGUCACAUCUUGAAUGCUUUGCUGCUUAGAAAUUUUUUCCAUCAGAUACCCUAAAUCAUCUCUCUCAAGUUCAAAGUUUCAGAAAUCUUUACAGCAGGGGCAAAAUGCCACCAGUCUCUUUGCCAAAAUGUAACAAGAGUCACCUUUGCUCUAGUUCCCAACAAGUUCCUCAUUUCCAUCUGAGACCACCUCAGCCUGGGUUUUAUUGCCAUAUUGCUAUCAGCAUUUUGGGCAAAGCCAUUCAACAAGUCUUAGGAUGUUCCAAACUUUACCGCAUUUUCCUGUCAUCUUCUGAGCCCUCCAAACUGUUCCAAACUCUGCCUAUUAUUGAGUUCUAAAGUCACUUCCACAUUUUUGGGUAUCUUUUCAGCAGUGCCCCACUCCUGGUACCAGUUUACUGUAUUAGUCAAUUCUCACAGUGCUGAUCAAGACAUACCUGAGACUGGGCAGUGGACUUACCAUUCUCCGUGGCUGGGGAAGCCUCCCAAUCAUGGUGGAAAGUGAGAGGCCCAUUUCAUAUGGUGGCAGACAAGAGAAGAGAGAGCUUGUGCAAGGAAACUCCUUCUUAUAGAACCAUGAGAUCUACUAUCACGAGAACAGCACAGGAAAGACCUGCCCCCAUUCAAUUACCUCCUACCAGGUCCUUCCCACAACACGUGGAGAUUCAAGAUGAGAUUUGGGUGGGGACAAAGACCAUAUCAGGGGGUAAUUUAAAAGAAUAGAAAAUAAGUCACAUGGGAUUUUAAAGUAGAUUAUAUGAGAAGAUUAUAGUAGCCACAUGAUGCUCUGCAUGACCUAAAUGUCAGAGAAAUUCAAAUUUAGGCAUGACAUAGACCAAGAAAUAGUCACAAAAGUUUCAUCAAAAUGCUGCUUCAGUUUUACCCCAAUGGCUAACCCUUCCCAUUAUGAAAAGCCAUUUAGUGAAAUUGAACAUUAGGAGAGAUUUUUAUUAUUUUUUCCAGGGCACUGCCUUGUCCCUUCCAAAUAGACCAUGGUCAAAUUUUAUGGUGCCUCCAAGUCAGACAUGUGAGCCCUAAAUUAUUUAGAUUUUACAUACUGGAAAUGUGCACUCUUGCUUUUCUAUCCUCACUGUUGGUGAUAGGGAAAUGAACUUAAAUACAUGUCUUUCAAGCCCAAAAGAUCAAUCAGUUGAAAAUGGAGAAAACAUGGAGCCCUCCAUGAAAACCUAUUCUGCUGUAAAGUCCCUGGGCAGAGACUAGGGUAGGGUAUGUUUCUACCCUAAUAUUUAGAGUUCUUUUUAAUUAAUAUUAGGCUUGAAUUGAUUCUUUAUGUUAUAUUACUAUUCUUGAAGAUUCAGCUUUUGAAUUAAGGUCUCUGAGAGAACUUCCAUAAAUUCUCAGACUAGGUUUUGUUUACUAAUCUUCACUCCAGCCAGUAUUUUGUGUAUAACUCUGUUGCUACAGUUAAAACACUGAAUUAUAUGUCUUUCUUUAUAUCUCUACCUCUUCUGCUAUCAUGGGUUCAUUGAGAGCAGGAAACUUGUUAUAAUUAUUUCUAUUUCCCCAAAUCUAGAACAAUGCCUAACAGGUGCAUAAUAAAAUGUUUGUUGAAUGAGUAAACAAAUUGGUGUUGGUUACAAUGAAGUAUAAGUGCUAAAGAAUCUAUUCUCAAUGUCUAUUUAGUAAUCAAUAAAUUUUUUGUUCUCUAUAUAUCUAUAUGUACACAUAUAUAGAUAUAGAUAGGUAUGUUUUUCUAAUAACAAAUUUCUUAAUAUCGAGGCAAUAUUCUAUAUUUUAGCUCUUCCCAGAGGUACUAGAAUGGGGAAAGAAAUAACCUGAAGUGUUCCAUAAGGCUAAUAAUCUAGGAUAACCCAUAUAAAAGAAUUUACUAAAGAUUGAAUGGGGUAGCAUGCUGCACUGGAUAUGUGAUGGUGAGCUGCAUGAGUACAGCUGCCCUCAGAAAGUGAAACUGAAAAUCAGUCCCUAAUACGUUGGAACAAAAAUAAAGCCAGCUAAGGAGACAGUUAAGCUAACUCCCAAAGAAGUGAAACACAUGACAAUACCUGAACCAUAAUGUUAUAUCGGAACAAAGGUGAUACCAAGCAACUGAGGAGGUGGACUAAAAUGAAAAUGUAAAAAUGGUAAGUCAUGGCCCAUAUCACGGUAGUGCUCUUCCAACCUUUUCACAGGAAGAGGACCUUUGGUCAGUAACAAACCUCUCAGGGCCAAGUGGCAGGGGUAUCUUUCUUGUGGAGAUGGCUGUUUCAGGCUUAGUCUGAUGCCAUCAUAAGGGGCAUCCUAUGGGGGCCAGGGAGAUAUUUUCACAUAGUAGAAAUGGCACAAAUGGAGAAGGCAGGGCAACAAGUGGUCCAGAAUGGCAGGAACAUUGUUGUGACAAGUAGGAGGCUGGUGUUAAUAGUUAGGUGAUAGGCUAAGUGUGUGGGGAGAAUUGUCCAUUGUUAUAAGGUACUUGUUAUUUAGGUGAUAGGGAUCAUGGAAGAUGACUAAGGCAGGGAUUAGAGUUAGGGUAUAGGAACAUCAAACUUGUGGUUUUGUACAAAAUAGAAUAAAGAAUGGAAUUAGGAAAACCUCUGAGAAAUUUUUGCAUAGAUGAGGUAAAUGAUUAAGGCCUAAACUAAGCAGUGGAAAGAAUGUUAAAUAUGAUAUAUGAUGCAAAAUGGACACCAGGCCAAAAAAAAAAAAUUCUAGCAUCAACAAAUCUUUAAUACCACUCAAUUGCCUAAACUUCAUUUUGGAUCAAUUAAACACCUGUGAGUGAUGUCUCUGAAGCCAUUAAGCACUAUUUUUUAAAGACAUUAGGCACAGAUAUACAUAACAUGAAGUUUGCCUCUUCAGCCAUUUUUAAUGCACAAUUCCAUAGCAUGAAAUACGUCUACAGUGUUGUACAACCAUCACCAUUAUCCAUUUGUGGAGCCUUUUCACUACUCCAAACUGAAAGUGUGUCCAUUGAACAUUAAUUCCCAGUUCCAUCCUCCCUCCAAUCUGAAGUAACCUCUAUUCUACUUUCUGUCUCUAUAACCUUCCCUAUUCUAGACACCACACAUAAGUGGAAUCAUACCAUAUUUGUCCUUCGCAUCUCUGCAUCUCACUUAUUUUACAUAGCAUAAUGUUUUUAAGGCUCGUAUAUGUGGUAACGUGUCAGAACUUUAUUUUUAUGGAUCAAUAAUAUUCCAUUGUGUGAAUAUAUCAGAUUUUGUUUAUUCAUUAAUUUGUUGAUGGAUAUUAGGCUUGUUUUUACCUUUUGACUCUUGUGAAUAAUAGUGCUAUGAACAUUGGUGCACGAGUAUUUGAGUUUCUGUUUUUAAUUAUUCUAGAUUAUACCUAGGAACUUUAAAGCCAGAUUUAAAGCCUUCCUUUCACUAUGGUAGUGUGUAGGAAUGAAAUUCCAGUGUGUGCACUCUGCCACGGGGAGCCCUGAAUUCCCAUUACUGUUCCUACCAGUCAGAAGAGGGUUAAAUCAUCAAAUCAUUCAUUCUGGAAAGUGACAAUGCCUUGGAUUUCAAAUAAAUGACACCUUUUUGUUUCUCAAAGUUCAGGAGAAAAACUGCUAUUGUUUUUUUCAUCACUCAAUAGGAUCAUGAGAGGUCCUACUGCAACAGCACAUGGAAACUUACAGAAACUUAUGAAAGGUUCUGGGUUGUGAUGACUGACCCUUCUCCCACACCCCAGUGUGAGACUCUGGGGAGAAUUAAAUUCCAUCAUUACAAUUCACAUUUUCUUGAAGACUCUCCUUAGUUAAUAGGAGCUAAAGCUGAUGCUGAAUUUGCCUUCUAUGAGAGUACAGUGCUAAGGCUGAGAGAUAGUAAAAGUGAAUCUAAAACCUGGUUAUGGAAGAUGGCUAAAUAUACAGCCUGGAAGAGCUUCUCCCACCAAGAGAGACCAGACCAUCAGGUAGACUGACACACUCUGAACAUUUGGAAAGAAGGCAUUGAGAGUGGAUACAGGGAAGACACGGAACCCAGGGGCUGAAAGAGGAGGAAGCUGGAAAACCUGCAUGUGGUUGCUGAGCACCAGGACUCAUUCCUGUCCCCAAGCAGCUCCUAGGGAAGAGGUGAAUUAAAAGGCAUGAAUAAUUCCACUCUUGUCACGAACCUCUGGGAUCCCAGCUGUGGGAGACCCCACAGCCCCCACAAACAUUUGAAUUGGCAGGGAGAACUGCUUGGAGAGUUGGCAGAGACAGAACUCCAGUCUGCACAGAGCCCAGAGUGUUUGGUGUGGAAACAGCUGCAGUAGAGCAUAGCCACGGAUGUCCAUCCUCCAAGUCUUGCCAUAUGACACUUGGUGGCUUUAGUCUUUGUUAUCAGCUGGACAUGGAGAGAGCAGGGUUAUCCUGCCCAUGGGAUGGGGCCAGUCUGAUAUGAAUGCCCCCCAUCAACCAGACUCUCCCAGGGUCUCUGGCUGCAUCCACUUGCUGAAAUUCUUGCCAGUGGCCACUGCCAUGGCUCUUUCACCAGCAGCUCCCACCUUCCCAUUGGAGUACUUUUACAGAUGAACCUCUGCUGGGUGCAUACCCACCUGCAGUUUUCCCCUGCCAGUAUGCACUUGCCACCCUGCAGUAUCCCUUCGUGGCCUCCAUGGUGCACAUGCACAUGGAGACCUGCUGCCUCACCAGUGUGCACAUGUGCAGGGACCCACCACUGCCCCACUGGCAAGCACACAUGCAUGGACUCAUUGCCACCCAGCUGUCAUGCAUGCAUGUGGGGGCACUUGCCUGUGGCCCCCCUGCUGCAGCAGUCUCCCACGACUCCCCCACUGCCCAGCUGCAGAGCAUAUGCCAGCAGCCCCUGUCAGAGUGCUGUUGCCAGUGGACUGAGAAUACCUUGGCCUCUAUAGCACAGCAGGAGCUUGACCCUGAGGGGCCAGAGAACAAAGCUGUGGGCCUGGUCCUAGCACUUCAGGGUUAGAGUAGGCAGCCCAGGAGUGCUGGUCUAAGCCCUGGUUCCCUUAAAGCAUCCAUAAAUGAAGCCAGUUGACUAAACCCAACUUAUAUCACAAUCAACUUCUUAAGGACAUCAAAGAACAUAAAAGCAAGAAGCCCCAUCCAAAGGACAGCAACUUUAAAGAUUAAAGUAACUCAGCCCACACAGAUGAGAAAGAACCAGCACAAGAAUUCUGGCAACUCUGAAAACAUAGUGUCUUUUUACCUCCAAAUGACCAUACUAUCUCCCCAGAAAUGGUUCUUAACCAGAUUGAAAUGGCUAAAAUAAGAGAUAUAGAAUUCAGAAUUUGGUUGACAAGGAAGCUCAAUGAGAUACAGGAGGAGAUUGAAAUCCAGUCCAAGGAAAGCAGUAAAAUGAUCCAACAGUUGAAAGAUAACAGAAGCAUUUUAAGAACCCAACUGAACAUCUUGACAAAAACAUACUACAGGAACUUCAGAAUGCAACUGGAUGCAUUAAUAACAGAAUAGAUCAAGCUGAGGAAAGAAUCUUAGAGUUUGAAGACUGUUCCUUUGAACAAACACAAGAAGACAAAAAUAAAAAAAAAUAUUUAAAAAUGAACUGAGAAAUAUGGAAUUAUGUAAAGAGACCAAAGUUAUGACUCAUUGGCAUUUCUGAAGGACAUGGAGAGAGAGGAAGCAAAUUGGAAAAUAUAUUUGAGAAUAUUGUCCCUGAAAAUCUCAUUAUUCAUUUUCAUGUUGAUCUCCGCUAUUAGAGAGGUCAACAUGAAAAUUAAAAGAACACCUGUGAGAUACUAUACAGGACAAUCAUCCCCAAGACACAUGGUCAUCAGAUUCUGCAAGGUCAACGUAUAAGAAAAAAAAAGCAGCUAGAGAUAAGUGGCAGGCCACCUACAAAGGGAACCCCAUCAGGCUAACAGUGGACAUUUCAGUAGAAACUUAGCAAGCUAGAAGAAAUGAGGGAAGGGGGCUAUAUACUGCAUUAUUAAGCAAAAGAAAUUUCUACCAAGAAUUUCAUAUACAGCCAAACUAAACUUUAUAAGUGAAGUAAAAACACAAUCCUUUUCAGAGAAGCAAAUGCUAAGGGAAUUUGUUACUACCAGACGUGCCUUACAAGAGGUUCUAAAGGAUUGCUAAACAUGGAAACAAAAGACCAAUACUACCCACCACAAGAACACACUUAAGAACAUAGCCAACUGACACUAUAAAGCUGCUAUACAAUCAAGUCUACAUAACAACCAGCUAACAAUACAAUGACAGGAUCAAAUCCUCAUAUAUCAACAUUGACCUUGAAUGUAAAUGGGAUAAAUGUCCCCACUUAAAAGACAUAGAGUGGAAAGUUAGAUAAAGACACAAGACCCAACCAUAAGCCAUAUUCAAGAGACCCAUCUCACAUGCAGUGAUAAUCAUAGGCUCAAAAUAAAGGCAUGGAGAAAUAUUAAGCAAACAGAGAACAAGAAAGAGAAGAUGCUAUGCUUAUUUCAGACAAAACAGAUUUUAAACCAGUGACAAUCAAAAAGGACAAAGAAGGGCAUUACGUAAUGAUAAAGGGUGCAAUUCAAUAAGAAGACUUAACUAUCCUAAAUAUUUAGGCAGCCAACAUUGGGCCACAUAAAACAAAUUCUUAGAGACCUAUAAAGAGACUUAGAUAACCACACAAUAAUUGUGGGAGACUUAACACCUUACUGACAGUGUUAGACACAUCAUUAAGGCAGAAAACUAACAUAGAUAUCUGGGACCUAUUGGAAGUUGGCACUUGACAAAAUGAACCUAGCAGACAUCUACAGAAUAUUCCACCCAACAACAGAAUAUACACUUUUCUUGCCUGUACCUGGUACAUACUCUAAGACUGACCACACAAUCUGCCAUAAAGCAAUUUUCUAAAAAAAUUAAAAAAAUGAAAUCAUACCAACCAGCUGCUUGGAACACAGCACAAUAAAAAUACCAAGAAUAUUGAGAAAUCAAUACCAAGAUGAUUUCUCAAAACUGUGCAAUUACGUGGAAAUUAAGCAACCUGCUCCUGGAUGACUUUUGGGUAAAGAAUGAAAUUAAGGCAGAAAUAAAAUGUUCAUUGAAACUAUUGAAAAUAAAAAAGAUACAACGUACCAGAAUCUCUGGGACACAGCUAAAGCAGUGUUAAAAGGUAAAUGGAAAGUUUAUAAUACUAAUCACCUACAUCAAGACAUUAGAAAGAUCUAAAAUUAGCAAACUAACAUCACACCUAGAGGAACAAGAAAAGUGAGAGAAAACCAACCCCAAACUACCAGAAGAAAAGAAAUAACCAAAUCAGAGGUCAACUGAUUGGAAUUGAGAUGUGAAAAUCUAUACAAAAAUCAAACCAAAAGUUGGUCCUUCCAAAGAAUAAGCAAUACUGAUCGAUGGCUAGCUAGAUUAAUAAAUAGAGAAGAUCCAAAUGAACACACUCAGAAAUGACAAAGGUGACGUUACAACUUACCCCACAGAAACACACGAAACCCUCAGAGACUAUUAUGAAUACCUAUAUGCACAUAAACUAGAAAACCUGGAAGAAAUGGAUAUAUUCCUGGAAACAUACAACCUCUUAAGAUUGAACCAGGAAGAAAUUGAAAUCAUGAACAGACCAAUAAUGAGUUCUAAAAUUGAAUCAGUAAUAAAAAUCCUACCAACCAAAGAAGCCCUGGACCAGACAGAUUCAAGCCAAUUUCUACCAGAUGUAUGAAGAAGAGUUCAUACCAAACCUACAGAAAUUAUUACAAAAAACUGGGGAGAAGGUACUCCUCCCUAAAUCACUCUUUGAGGCAAGCAUCAUUCUGAUACCCAAACUUGUCAGAGACACAAUGAAAAAAGAAAACUUCAGGUUAGCAUCCCUGAAGAACAUAGAUGCAAAAAAUCCUCAAUAAAAUAUCAAAAACCAAAUCUAGCAGCCCAACAAAACCUAAUCUCCUAUGACUAAGACGGACUUAUUCCUGGGAUACAAGGUUGGUUCAAUAUAUACAAAUCAACAGAUAUAAUGCAUCACAUAAACAGAACUAAAAACAAAAACCACAUGAUCAUCUCAAUGGAAGCAUAAAAGUCUUGAUAAAAUUCAACAUCCCUUUAUGAUAAAAACCCUCAAUAAACUGGUCAUCACAGGAACAUACCACAAAAUUAUAAGAGCCAUCUGUCAGAAACCCACAGCCAAUGUCAGACUGAACAGGCAAAAACUGGAAGCUUCCCCCUGAGAACUGGAACAACACAAGGUUGUCCACUACCACCACUCCUGUUCGACACAGUGCUGGAAGUCCUAGACAGAGCAAUAGGCAAGAGAAAGAAAGAAAAGCCAUCCAAAUAGGAAUAGAGGAAGUCAAACUCUCUCUCUUCAGAGAUGAUAUGCUUCCACACCUAGAAAACCACAUAGUCUCUGCCCAAAGGUUCCUAGAUCUGACAAACAACUCUGGUAAAGUUGCAGGAUACAAAAUCAAUGUACAAAAAAUCAGUAGCAUUUCUAUAAUGCUAAUGUAAUACUUGAACACUAGUAAUGUCCAAGCUGAGACCCAAAUCAAGAACACAAUUCCAUUCACAUUAGCCACAAGAAGAAAGCACCUGAAUAGCCAGAGCCAUCCUAAGCAAAAAGAGAAAAGCUUGAGACAUUUUACUACUCAACUUCAAAUUAUACUACUAGGCUAUAGUAACCGAAAUAGCGUGGUACUGGUACCAAAAAAAUAGAUACAUAGACCAAUUGAACAGGUUCAAGGAUCCAGAAGUAAAGCUGCAUACCUCUGUAACCAUCUGAUCAUCAACAAAGUUGACAAUAACAAGCAAUGGGAAAAGGACUCUAUUCAAUAAAUGGCUCUGGGAUAACUGUCUAGUCACAUGCAGAACACUGAAACUAGACACCUACCUUUUACCAUAUAAAAAUUAACUCAAAAUCGAUUAAAGCCUUAAAAUGUAAAGGCUUUAUAGCCUAAAACUAUAGAAACCCUAGAAGGAAAUGCAGGACAUACCAUUCUGGACAUAGGCCUUGGCAAAGAUUUUAUGAUGAAGUCUCCAUAAACAAUUGCAACAAAAACAAAAAUUGAUAAGGGUGACCUAAUUAAAAAGCUUGUGCACAGCAAAAUAAACUAUCAACAGAGUAAACAGACAAGCUAAAGAACGGGAGAAAAUAUUUGCAAAGUAUGCAUCUGACAAAGGUCUAAUAUCCAGAAUCUGUAAGGAACUUAAGCAAAGAACAUACAACCCAAUUAAAAAAUGGGCAAAGCACAUAAACAGAUGUUUCUCAAAAGAAGACAUACAUGCGGCCAACAAGCAUGUGAAAAAAUGCUCAAAAUUACUAAUCAUUAGGGAAAUGCAAAUCAAAACCACAAUGAGAUACCAUCUUACACCAGAGUGGCUGUUACUAAAAAGUCAAAAAAUAAUAGUUGUUGGUGUGGUUGCAGAGAAAAAGGAAUGCUUUUACACUGCUGACUGUAAAUUAGUUCAGCCACUGUGGAAAGCAGCUUGGAGAUUUCUUAAAGAACUUAAAACAACUGUUAUUCAACCCAGCAGUUCCAUUGCUGGGUAUACACCGAAAGGAAUAUGAAUUGUUCUAACAUAAAGACACAUGCAUGCAUAUGUUCAUCACAACACUUUUCACAAUAACAAGGACAUGGAGUUAACCUAGAUGUGCAUCACUGGUGAGCUGGACAAAGAAAAUGUGGUACAUAUAUAUCAUGGAAUACUACAAAGCCAGAAAAAAUAAUUAUGUUCUUUGCAGCAACAUGGAUGCAGCUGGAGGCCAUUAUCCUAAGGAACAGAAAAACAAAUACCACGUGUUCUCCUAAGUGGGAGCUAAACAUUGAGUAUACAUGGACACAAAGGAAACAAUAGACACUGGUACCUACCUGAUGAGGGAGUGUAGGAGGAAGGUGAGGGUCGAAAAGCUACCUGUUGGAUACUAUUACUGUGCUCACUACCUGAGUGAUGAAACCAUUUGUACACCAAACCCCAGUGACAUGCAAUUUACCCAUGUAACAAACCUAGGCAUGUACCCCCAAACCUAAAAUCAAAGUUCAGAAAAAAAAAUGAAAAGCAAAUAAAACAUGAGUAUGCUCUGAAUAAAGGCAUACCUUUCUGUUCAAUAGUAACAUGUAUUUGAUAUCUUUUGCUAGGGGAUCUUCUAAGUUUUUUUGCACGUAAAUUGUUGGGCACAUAGCAGAGGCUAAACUAGUUUUCAAACUGCAUUGUCUUACUGUCUUACUAUACCAGUCGCAGUCCCUGGCUUUGCAAUAAGUUUCUGGACAGAUGGAGUUAGCCAAAAUGCUAUCUAGCAAUCGGAACCUGGGUUGCACACUCCAGCUCAAAUGCAAUUUAAUCAGCAUACCCUUUGGGCAUGUACUGUCUGCCAAAGGCAGCUCCAGAGUAAGGUUGAAGUGAACCUAGGUUCUGGAAGGUCCAGGGUUUUUAAAAAAAUAACAUCUUGAAUAUUUGCAAAUUUAUAUGAAGAUACAGAAAGAAAUGUUGAGGUUAAGAAAAUUUAUCAAAAAUAGUUGCUCCAUUACAGAGUCCCCUGAGGAUAAAAACAGAAAGCAUAUUUUGAAGUCUUUGUUUUUAUAAGGUGUUGGCCAAAAGGUAAUUUCAAUAAUUCUCUUACCUCUUUCAUUUAUGUCUAUCAUUUCAUCAGUGGGGGUCACAGCCAUUUACUCCAUUUUUGGAGAUGCCAUUUAACUCAAAAAUCCCUGGAAGGAGUAGCAAAGUGGCUUGGAUUUAUAUGAAGGUAGGAACUGGUGGGUUUGGAUGAUGGUGAGGAAAGGAGUGGGCAGAGGAAGAGACAAGAGUGAGUCUAAGUAGGGAGAGCUGUGCCGGGAAAGUCUUUGAAAGGAGAGAGCUAGUAUGCUGGGAAUGAAAAUAGCUGACUUUAAAAUGGUCUAGAAUCAACCCUGGGUGCACAUUAUUAUUAAUUUUCUUUGACACUAAUGAUUUUUAAGGUAAGCCUUCAGGACUUGAAUACAUUGGAAAAAUUGAGAAAAGCAGACUUUUCAUCAUCCAAGCCUCUUCUUGCCAUGUGAUUGUGUGUUCUGCUUGCAGGGCAUGUUGCUAAGCAAGGAGACAGAAGUGCACAUUCAAUAUCUGGUUCUGCAAAUUUGUCCCUAAAGAUUUUAGGGCUUCAUUCAGGCAGAAUUUCAUAUUGAGUUAUUCUUGCCUUAAACUAGCAGACACUGGUCCUUCGGACUUAAAAUGGGUCCAUUUGCUGAAGCUUUCCAUUCUGAGCUUCCCUGAGGAAACGAGAAGCAUUUAUUGUCACCAGGGGUUGCUGGUUUGGAAACCCUCUUUCCUGCUGCUGUGUUGUUCUCUGAUUGUACAUCUGGGGUACAAUUUGGGGUGAGGAAGAAAGGUGGACCCUAAAAGUUACUGGCUUUGUCUUUCCCUGGCCUGGCUUUUAAAAAACUGAAGGUGUUUCGGUGACCCCUUUCCCUACUUGAAAGUAAUGUUCAAAAAGAGUGAAAAGAGAGCAGGGUUUUUUUUUUGUUUUUCUUUUUUUUAAGGCUUUCAUAGUGAGUAGUAUUUUUCCCCAUUCUAGUUUUCUUUUAAAAUUAUAAUGAUAAUUCUACUUCACAUAUGUGCUUGUCCUAUAGAUCAGACAAGGCAUUAAUUUGCUUAUUGGAGUUUGACAAACUGCCUGUAUUGACUUAUUGUCAAGCCAAAGCAGCCCCCCCGGUAUAAAGGCUCUGAAUUAUUUUCUUUUUAUUUUUCUUGGGGGGUGGUAAAUGAAAUAUAAUCUUGAAGGCUCCUCUUUCUCUGAAUUUGUUACAAGGAAAGUGGAAUAUAGACAAAGCAAUUAGGAUCUCCAUGCAGGAAUAAAACUUACUUGCAUCUUUACUAGACUGUUAUUAAUUAGUAAAAUGUAGUUCUCUGUAAAGUUUAAAAACUAUAUUCUCACUCAUAGGUGGGAAUUGAACAAUGAGAACACAUGGUCACAGGAAGGGGAACAUCACACUCUGGGGACUGUUGUGGGGUGGGGGGAGGGGGGAGGGAUAGCAUUAGGAGAUAUACCUAAUGCUAAAUGACGAGUUAAUGAGUGCAGCACACCAGCAUGGCACAUGUAUACAUAUGUAACCUGCAUAUUGUGCACAUGUACCCUAAAACUUAAAGUAUGAUAAUAAUAAAAUAACAAAACAAAACAAAUCUAUAUACUGUCUAAAUUUUUGUAUGUGGAAAAAGAAAAAUUCAGAAUAUAAUUCAAAAUAUGUUCAAAUCAUUAUAAUAUCAAAGAUAAUUUGAACUUGUAAUCCAGGAGUGUCUUAGUAAAAUAAAUUUGAACUACAGCAGGAAAGUAUUAGCUCGGCUCACAGGGACAAUUAUUUCCUGAUCAAGGAACUGGAUGAUCUGGAACUGAUUUUAGAUUCUAGGGAAAAAAUGGAUCAUUUCAAUGAAAUUCUUGAAAUGUGUAUGAAGUGAAGCAGAAAACUGGGACAAAAUAAAAUUGGUCAUUCAUGUGUUUGCUUCUCUCAAAGCUUGAAUAAUAAAUUUGAAGGUUUAAUAACCAACCCUACUCCUGGUCUAAAUUUAAUGUGGGCAGAAUAAUUGGUGUGUCUCCAUGUCCUUUGCUGAAAAUUCUGCCAUCAACUGUAAAAAUAAUUUUACUCAAGUAUGCAUUUAUGGUUGGAAAUGGUUAGCUAAUUAUAAAUGAGCUGCUGGAGCAUUAAAACUAUUAAUUUAAUAAAUUUUCUAACCAGUGUGUCUUUAGUCCCAGAGCAAUCUCUGGCACAUAUUAGGCAUUCAAUAACUAUUUUUUAAGUGAAUGAAUUAAGUUAGCUGAGAUAGAGGCAACUUCAUCUUUAGUAUACAUAAAUUAAAUCUCUGCUAUGGUUUGAAUGUUUAUGUCCCCUACAAAAUUCAGGUUGAAAUUUAAAUCCCAGUGUAACAUUACUAAGAGGCGAGGCCUUCAAAAGGUGAUGAGGCCUUAUGAAAAAGCUUUAAAGGGUGAAUUUGGCCCGUCCAUCUCCCCUACCAUGUGAGAACACAGUAUUCAAGGUGCCAUCUUGGAAGCAUAAACUGGGUCCUCAACGGACACUGAACCUACCGUACCUUGAUCUAGGGCUUCCCACCCUCCAAAACUGUAAGAAAUAAACUUCUGUUCUUUGUGAAUUAAAUUAUCCACUAUAAGAUAUUUUGUUAUAGCAGGAAGAACAAAUUAAGAAAACAUUCCCAAUAACAAAAAAUGGGAACUUUCAGCAGGGUAUGGUGGAAGUUCUGGGAAUACAGACUGUCAUAUGAGGACAUUCUAAGGAAGGAUGAAUCCCAUAGAGAGAUCAGUAGGGCUGAAGAAUGGACAGAUCCACAAGGGCAAUUUUGCCAUGGAGUUAAGGAGUCUUUAAAUUUUAAAUGUCACAGUUUGUGUAAAGAAUACUUUAGUGCAGAACUUUCUAAACUUUCUUUGUUCCUGGUGCCCUUAGGGUUAGUCAUUAUUUUUUCACAGUGCCCUUAGUCCAAAAGAAAAAGCCAAUAGUUUCACUUAUUAAGUAGCUAGUUCUAAAUAAAUCAGUAUUUAAGUCCUAACAACUUAGUAGCCAUUUGAAUAAACAAUAUGUUUAAAUUAAGAGAAGAAAACCUGUAAAUUUAUUUCUGAAAUAACUAGGAUUCCUUAUCAAUGGGAUGUGUGUGCCUGUUGAACACUUUACAAUUGAUCAAAUACUGAUAUCACUGCUACCCUUGGUUUUCUUUCCACAGUGACUUUCAUGCUGUACUUGAUUUUUAUCCCAGCAACCAUGAAAAAUCCUGUUUCAGAAAGAUAUGAUAUUUGGAAAGGAACCUAGCCAUCUAAUGUUAAAGUAGUCUUGCAGUGUCUGACAGAUGUCAGGAAUUGUGUCUUCCUAAAAAAUGUAAAAUAUAUUGGCGCACCCUGUGAGUUCAUUACAGAGUCCCAGUGCCCCUUGGGUAAAAAGUUGGUAACCAUGGGAUUAUGAAGUUGAAAGACAGACAUAACAAUAAUAAUAAUGUCAACUGCCAACUCACUAAAAAGACCACCAAAAUAAAGAAAACUGCAUUUAUUCUUAACCCAGUAAGGAAGAUCAAUAUCUUGUUGAAAUCUUAGUAAAUCUUCUUAGGGUAGAGGUGAAAGCCAGGGCAUUUAUGAGGUUUUGGGGUGCUGGUUUAAGACAGGCAGGUCUUUCAAUGCAGAGAACUUAACUGGAUUGACUAGAGUUUGUGACAUAAUAGUAUAAAAUUGAUGGACACAGUGAGGCAAGGAUUUUGAAUGAGUGUAGAAAGGUAAGUCAUCUCUUGAUAAGCCUGGUUGCAUGAUCUGUUAUGAGAAAUGAGAUGAUGAAAGCAUAGUUGAAAGUUUGGAUAUAUGGAUUUGGUGGAAUUUCUUGAAAUAAACAAAAAAUACAAUUAUUUGCCUUUUCAUCUUCUUGGGCAAGAGUUUCUUGUAAGAGUAAAGUCAUGUUAAUAUAUACAUUGGGCUGUAUAGCUUUGGUUCUCAAUAAUAAUGAUAAAAAACAACAGCAGCUAACAUUUAUUGGGACUUUUAUCUUGCCAGCUGAAGUUCUAAGUGCUUUACAUGAAUUGUAUUUUUAAAUAUUCUUAACGAUUUUAUGAGGUAGUAGUUAGUAUUCCCAUAUUUAUGGAAAAAUGCUCUGAAAGGAAGACAGUAGUUAGUCAUACUUUGUGGUCAUGGAGUGAGGACAAGACACAGCAUGUGCUUUUUGUUUUGUUUUCUUUUGUUUUUAGUAAAAAGGCAGAGAAAGUGAAAAGGCACAGAAAUUACAGGAUAUGAGAUUAAUUAAUGAAUUUGUACAUUAUUUCUUUUCAAAGUGCUCUUUAAGUAUUCAUAUUACUCCUGCUGUGACCCAGUAAUGGUCUGUGUGCCUCCCUGCACAGGCGUUGAUACAGGAACUACUCUGUUUUGACCAUGCUUUGGAUCUAGCUUGUUGUAGCUUUCUUAUUUAUUUAUCCUGGAUGUCAGUGACCAGCUGCCUGCGAACUGACCUCAGGCCUCAUGCUGCUGCUGACUUGGAUAAUUCCUGAAGGGCAGCAAAGCCCUUGGACAUGGAGAACAGGCUUUCAUCUGGGCGAUACUGGAAGUAGUGCACAAAGUCUCAUGUUUUGUGAUAUGUUGGUUGCUUAGUUAUUGAGUUAUAUUACAGAUUGUGACUUUAUUCUGAAAAAAAGUGUAGUGCUUAAGUGGCUUGCAUCCUUGCUAGCUUAAGAAAAUAUUUUAGGUGGCAGUAUUAUGUGGUGAAAGGACAACAGAUUUUGAUGCAGUAAUUUUAGGACUGAGUUUGGGCUCUUCCAUUUUCAAGCUGUAUUAUCUUACACACGUUAUCUGGCAUCUCUGAACUUCAGGUUCUUCUUUAGUAAGUUACGAUGAAUAUGUACUUCACAGGGUUAUUGUGGAGUUCCAAUAAGGUAAUGUUAAAGUAUAUUAAAGAGAUUUUUAACGCAACAAAGUUUUAAUCAAAUACUUGUUAUCACUGUUAUUAUGUGGUUAUAUAAAAAUAUGUUGUAUACAGUCAAUUACUAGAUAUUCCUAUAAUUCUACUUCAUGCUAACAUGUUUAUUCUUUGAAGCACAGGGAUUCAUAUGAAUCAUUCUCUAAUUCUGAAAAUAUUGCAAUCUAAUACCCUAACAACUCAUUCACAAUAGACAAAACAUUUCUAAGCAUAAAUGCACAUUGGAUUGAUAAUUAUUUCUCCAAGCUAUGUUUUGAGUUGGUAAUUUAAUUUUCAUGCAGCCUCUUAGGAUUUAUAUUGUAUGUGGCAGCUUAAACACACUCUCACAGACACACCCUCACAACUUUGGCUGCACUGAGAAAUUCACCUAUUAUUAUGAUGUUUAUUCUUCAGUAUCUUUAUUAUUUAUUUUUAACUUUUAUUUUAGGUUCAGGGGUACAGGUGCAGGUUUGUUAUAUAGGAAAAUUGUUUGUCAUGGGGGUUUGGUGUAUAGAUUAUUUUAUCACCCAGGGUAAUAAGCAUAGUACUUGAUAGGUAUUUUUUUUUAAUCCUCUCCCUCCUCCCACCCUCAAAGAGGCCCUAGUGUCUGUCAAAUCAAAACAUAAUUCCUUAGCUUAUCCUAUAGAUUUUGCCAUGGAUCUGAAAACCUAGAACAUAUAAUUUACCAAUUAAAUGUUCAUUGCAGAGGUUAUCCUUUAUGAAGUGUAAAAGGACACCAAAUUUGCAAUGCAAUCUUAGCUGGCCUUCCAUUAACACUAAUUAUAAUCUUCAUAUGACAGUUGUCAGGUGUGUCUUGAAAUUGAUUUAAAAAUCAUGCAUAUUAUAUAGUGACUUAUUGUUUCAUAAAACAGAGGUGUAAUUAGAAGGAUACCGACUUUUCCCAUGAGAUCAAAGGUAGAUAAGUAAUGGGGCAUUAUGACAGGAACUAGACCUACAGUUCACCUUGCAGAUUUUCUUAGUAUGUGCCUUUUUCUGGUAAUAAAUGGGGCCAUUUUAGUGCCUCUCUCAUUCUCCUUUUCUUGCUAAAGGACAGUUUCUUGUGCUCUCCUUAAACAUUCCUAUCACAGUGUCCUCAAAGCGAGAUCCUCUGACCUAGGAGUCGUUAUAAUACAACAAAGAAGCAACCACCACUAACUGACCUUCCUGCUCAUUGACCCAAUUCCACAUUCCUUGGAGAGAGAUUCUCAUUAAUCCAACUGAGUCUCAUGAUUACUAGUUCUCUAUAAAUUGCCCAAUAGAAUAUGGCUGUGGAACAAGGGCCUGAGGGACAAACAUGACUCCAGGGGCAGGUGGUGGCAGUUCUCAAGAGAAGGGGCUUGGGCAGGAUCAUCCUCAAAUCAUAAUAACAUAAAAAGAUUUUAACAAUAGAAACUUUUCACUAUUGUCACAGAAAUAUUAGGUUGCAAAAACUUAGAUUUACAUAAAUCUAGUUUUAUGUAAUGACGAAGUUUAUAAACAUUGGCAUAGCGAAAUGUUUACUGGCUUGUAAUAGCUAUUUAAAGGAAUUUUAAAUCGUUAUUUAAAUCAAUAGUUAUUUAAAGGAAUUAUAUAGCUAAGUUCUUUUAAAAACAUCCAAUCAAUCAAUAUGCCUUUGUGAAGCAUCUCUUUAAAAGUAUACCGUUUUACUUAUGUGGUUUUUAAUGGUAGAUUGGUAUAACAGCAAGAAUUUAUUUACUUUGCAUUAUUAGGAUAGUACUUUAUAGAACUUUAUGGUUCCUUCAGCCGUGGGGUUCUGUCUAAUCAUGCAUUUAUUAUUUAUUAUUUUUAUUAUUUAGUAGAGAUGAGGUCUCACUAUGGUGCCCAGGGUGGUCUCAAACUCCUGGCCUCAGCAAGCCUCUGCCUCAUCCUCCCAAAGUGCUGGAAUUAGAGGUAUGAGCCACCAUGUCCAGCCUGGUCAUGCAUUUUUGAUCACUGUUCCUUCCUUUAGUUUGUAUCUGAUUGUAAACAAUCUAUAUACAGAAGUAUUGGCUUAAUUCCAAAAUAAGCAUAGGAAAGAGCUUGAAGUAUUAGAAAAAUAGAAGGAAGGAGAAUGUGACUGGAGUCUAGUGAAUCACGGCUGAACAUCAUGCAUGUAUAAACACCAAGCAACAAUCAGGAUAGAUACCUAGGAAGUUCUUUAUGAAUGGCUGUGAUUUUUGUUUCCAGUAUGUGAGUUUGUUAUUUAUAGAAGACCACACUGAGGACCACUGCAACCUGAAAAACUCACUCUCAAGGAGUUCCAUGACUUAUGAAGUUAGUAAGGCUUUCUUGGAUUGGAGGAAAAUGUGCAUAAGGUACAGUUAAGCCCCUAGUUCUCCUUCCCUUCUGGAGAUCAAGUGACUCCCCCUCAAGCAGGAGGCCAGCCAUUAAUAUAUUCAGGAGAAACUGAACCUGAGAAGCUCUGGACUCCUUUGUACCAGACCUGGUAAUGUAAACAUGUCAGCAGGGUGGGGAAGUGCAAAUGGUUAAAAAAGAAAAAGUAAAAGAAACAGACAAUACAGGAAGAUAAAGAAGACAAAAGCAAUUGGUGUAAUUGAAAUCCUAAGAAUAACAAGAAAUAUUGCUUCCAAUAAAAACAAAAACCAAAAGGAAAAACUAAGAUAUUUA
Molecule: long non-coding RNA, 22098 nt
Filed under: Homo sapiens (human)
Lineage: Eukaryota; Metazoa; Chordata; Mammalia; Primates; Hominidae
Description: non-protein coding lnc-HTR1B-2:8
Source: RNAcentral